GACGAACGCUGGCGGCGUGCUUAACACAUGCAAGUCGAACGGAAAGGCCCCGCUUUGGGGGGGUGGAGGAGCGGAGAGGGGGGGAGCAAGACGGGAGUAUACCGCCGUCGUUUUUGGGACAACUUCAGACAAGUGGGGAUAACACAGGAUAGGAGCUCCUGCUGGAUGGGGGGGGGUGGAAAGUUUCGGCGGUUGGGGAUGGACUCGCGGCUUAUCAGCUUGUUGGUGGGGUAGUGGCUCACCAAGGCUUUGACGGGUAGCCGGCCUGAGAGGGUGACCGGCCACAUUGGGACUGAGAUACGGCCCAGACUCCUACGGGAGGCAGCAGUGGGGAAUAUUGCACAAUGGGCGGAAGCCUGAUGCAGCAACGCCGCGUGCGGGAUGACGGCCUUCGGGUUGUAAACCGCUUUCGCCUGUGACGAAGCGUGAGUGACGGUAUCGGGUAAAGAAGCACCGGCUAACUACGUG
This 468-nucleotide ribosomal RNA is filed under the name uncultured bacterium. RNAcentral's name for it is "partial 16S ribosomal RNA". It matches the Rfam family "Bacterial small subunit ribosomal RNA", at positions 28 to 507 of the family's 1533-position model. The record is from RNAcentral.